Molecule: long non-coding RNA, 223 nt
Filed under: Marmota monax (woodchuck)
Lineage: Eukaryota; Metazoa; Chordata; Mammalia; Rodentia; Sciuridae
Source: RNAcentral
UGGAAGAUUUUUAUUUGCUUACUUCUGGCACAAGGAUAAUUUUCUCAGUGUCACUGGAGAAGAUGGCAUUCCCCUGGACCUUGGUCAUUCAGGGCCACCCGAUGAUGGGCAGGAGGCUGGCCAGGAUUGCAUUGAGGAUGGCAGUGACAUAGCCCCACCCAGCUGGCACUGCCCACCACGGUGCAUGGAGGGGGCCUCGCAGACUGCUUUGGCUAACGGGGAG